AUAGCAUAUCAGAAGGCACACCCGGAGAACUGAAACAUCUUAGUACCCGGAGGAAGAGAAAGAAAAUUCGAUUCCCUUAGUAGCGGCGAGCGAAAUGGGAAGAGCCCAAACCAACAAGCUUGCUUGUUGGGGUUGUAGGACACUCUAUACGGAGUUAUAAAGGACGACAUUAGACGAAUCAUCUGGAAAGAUGAAUCAAAGAAGGUAAUAAUCCUGUAGUCGAAAAUGUUGUCUCUCUUGAGUGGAUCCUGAGUACGACGGAGCACGUGAAAUUCCGUCGGAAUCUGGGAGGACCAUCUCCUAAGGCUAAAUACUCUCUAGUGACCGAUAGUGAACCAGUACCGUGGGGGAAAGGUGAAAAGCACCCCGGAAGGGGAGUGAAAUAGAACCUGAAACCGUGUGCUUACAAGUAGUCAGAGCCCGUUAAUGGGUGAUGGCGUGCCUUUUGUAGAAUGAACCGGCGAGUUACGAUUUGAUGCAAGGUUAAGCAGUAAAUGUGGAGCCGUAGCGAAAGCGAGUCUGAAUAGGGCGUUUAGUAUUUGGUCGUAGACCCGAAACCAGGUGAUCUACCCUUGGUCAGGUUGAAGUUCAGGUAACACUGAAUGGAGGACCGAACCGACUUACGUUGAAAAGUGAGCGGAUGAACUGAGGGUAGCGGAGAAAUUCCAAUCGAACCUGGAGAUAGCUGGUUCUCUCCGAAAUAGCUUUAGGGCUAGCCUCAAGUGAUGAUUAUUGGAGGUAGAGCACUGUUUGGACGAGGGGCCCCUCUCGGGUUACCGAAUUCAGACAAACUCCGAAUGCCAAUUAAUUUAACUUGGGAGUCAGAACAUGGGUGAUAAGGUCCGUGUUCGAAAGGGAAACAGCCCAGACCACCAGCUAAGGUCCCAAAAUAUAUGUUAAGUGGAAAAGGAUGUGGCGUUGCCCAGACAACUAGGAUGUUGGCUUAGAAGCAGCCAUCAUUUAAAGAGUGCGUAAUAGCUCACUAGUCGAGUGACACUGCGCCGAAAAUGUACCGGGGCUAAACAUAUUACCGAAGCUGUGGAUUGUCCUUUGGACAAUGGUAGGAGAGCGUUCUAAGGGCGUUGAAGCAUGAUCGUAAGGACAUGUGGAGCGCUUAGAAGUGAGAAUGCCGGUGUGAGUAGCGAAAGACGGGUGAGAAUCCCGUCCACCGAUUGACUAAGGUUUCCAGAGGAAGGCUCGUCCGCUCUGGGUUAGUCGGGUCCUAAGCUGAGGCCGACAGGCGUAGGCGAUGGAUAACAGGUUGAUAUUCCUGUACCACCUAUAAUCGUUUUAAUCGAUGGGGGGACGCAGUAGGAUAGGCGAAGCGUGCGAUUGGAUUGCACGUCUAAGCAGUAAGGCUGAGUAUUAGGCAAAUCCGGUACUCGUUAAGGCUGAGCUGUGAUGGGGAGAAGACAUUGUGUCUUCGAGUCGUUGAUUUCACACUGCCGAGAAAAGCCUCUAGAUAGAAAAUAGGUGCCCGUACCGCAAACCGACACAGGUAGUCAAGAUGAGAAUUCUAAGGUGAGCGAGCGAACUCUCGUUAAGGAACUCGGCAAAAUGACCCCGUAACUUCGGGAGAAGGGGUGCUCUUUAGGGUUAACGCCCAGAAGAGCCGCAGUGAAUAGGCCCAAGCGACUGUUUAUCAAAAACACAGGUCUCUGCUAAACCGUAAGGUGAUGUAUAGGGGCUGACGCCUGCCCGGUGCUGGAAGGUUAAGAGGAGUGGUUAGCUUCUGCGAAGCUACGAAUCGAAGCCCCAGUAAACGGCGGCCGUAACUAUAACGGUCCUAAGGUAGCGAAAUUCCUUGUCGGGUAAGUUCCGACCCGCACGAAAGGCGUAACGAUUUGGGCACUGUCUCAACGAGAGACUCGGUGAAAUCAUAGUACCUGUGAAGAUGCAGGUUACCCGCGACAGGACGGAAAGACCCCGUGGAGCUUUACUGUAGCCUGAUAUUGAAAUUCGGCACAGCUUGUACAGGAUAGGUAGGAGCCUUUGAAACGUGAGCGCUAGCUUACGUGGAGGCGCUGGUGGGAUACUACCCUAGCUGUGUUGGCUUUCUAACCCGCACCACUUAUCGUGGUGGGAGACAGUGUCAGGCGGGCAGUUUGACUGGGGCGGUCGCCUCCUAAAAGGUAACGGAGGCGCUCAAAGGUUCCCUCAGAAUGGUUGGAAAUCAUUCAUAGAGUGUAAAGGCAUAAGGGAGCUUGACUGCGAGACCUACAAGUCGAGCAGGGUCGAAAGACGGACUUAGUGAUCCGGUGGUUCCGCAUGGAAGGGCCAUCGCUCAACGGAUAAAAGCUACCCCGGGGAUAACAGGCUUAUCUCCCCCAAGAGUUCACAUCGACGGGGAGGUUUGGCACCUCGAUGUCGGCUCAUCGCAUCCUGGGGCUGUAGUCGGUCCCAAGGGUUGGGCUGUUCGCCCAUUAAAGCGGUACGCGAGCUGGGUUCAGAACGUCGUGAGACAGUUCGGUCCCUAUCCGUCGUGGGCGUAGGAAAUUUGAGAGGAGCUGUCCUUAGUACGAGAGGACCGGGAUGGACAUACCUCUGGUGUACCAGUUGUCGUGCCAACGGCAUAGCUGGGUAGCUAUGUGUGGACGGGAUAAGUGCUGAAAGCAUCUAAGCAUGAAGCCCCCCUCAAGAUGAGAUUUCCCAACUUCGGUUAUAAGAUCCCUCAAAGAUGAUGAGGUUAAUAGGUUCGAGGUGGAAGCAUGGUGACAUGUGGAGCUGACGAAUACUAAUCGAUCGAAGACUUAAUCAA
This 2758-nucleotide ribosomal RNA is filed under the name Staphylococcus aureus M0730. RNAcentral's name for it is "bacterial LSU rRNA". It matches the Rfam family "Bacterial large subunit ribosomal RNA". Lineage: Bacteria; Bacillati; Bacillota; Bacilli; Caryophanales; Staphylococcaceae. The record is from RNAcentral.